Cervus elaphus (red deer) is the source of this 742-nucleotide long non-coding RNA. RefSeq lists it as uncharacterized. NCBI's taxonomy places the organism in Eukaryota, Metazoa, Chordata, Mammalia, Artiodactyla, Cervidae. The transcript has 4 exons. The record is from RefSeq and is a predicted model, not a curated record.
CCAGUCGGCGCGCGCUCCUUGGGCCCGGAGGCCUAUUACGCGCGCGCGUGUCCGAGCGCGCCCACUAGCGCGCGCGCCGAGCUCCGGACUCCCCACUCCUGCGCAACCCUGGUCAAGCAGAUGUGUUUUAAGAAAGCAACUGAAUGCCCUCACUUCCAGUAAUCCUCCUAAGCCUUGUUAAUGGAGGUGUUUGGGGCAGGAGGCCAUUUCAUAUGCUGUCUGAAUCACAGAGCUCACAGGGCAUCCUUCUCUGCGACUUUACUAUCCUGGAGGGAUGUGACCUGGGCUGGUGCUUGGACAUCAUGGCUCCUACAUCCCUUCUCUGGCCAUCUUCUACGUUCUGUCACCUACUGUUCUUUGCCUGCUAAGUUGCUUCAGUCAUGUCCAACUCUGUGCGGCCCUAUGGACUGUAGCCUGCCAGGCUUCUCUGUCCACGUCAUGCUUCAGACAAGAAUACUGGACUCUGGGAGAAGCCAGCACCUGUGGAAGUCCAGCUACUUCAAGACCACCAUGCUGUGAGGAAGCCCAAUCUAGCCAUAUGAAGAGAUACUGUGCCAGCCCCAAGCCACUCCAGACAUCCCAGACCAGACACCACAGAGCUGCAUAAAGAAGCCUUCAGAUGAACUUGGCCUUGGCUUUAGACUGGCUACACAAUCCCAGAGACCUCAAGUGAGAACCACCCAGCUGAUCCUAUCAACCUCCACAGCCAUGAGCAGUAAUAAUACAUUAUUGUUUCACUCUG